Styela clava is the source of this 826-nucleotide non-coding RNA. The record is from RefSeq and is a predicted model, not a curated record. Lineage: Eukaryota; Metazoa; Chordata; Ascidiacea; Stolidobranchia; Styelidae.
AUGAACUCACAGACUUACGCAAAGACGAAUGAUACCUGCGGUAAUUCAAAACUGACGAAGAGACAAUGGAAGAACUACCGUGCGGUCGAAGUGUUUAUGAACACCAAGAAGACUACAGCCUGUUUUUUAGGACUGAGGAAGAUUAUCUCAAAAGACACCCCAUGUCGCUUUCAAUCUUAACAUGGUUCAUUCAUUAUACAACAUUGAACGUCCCAAUAUCUGCUGAGAAAUGAAACUUUAUUGUCGUGGGUGCCACAUCACAUGUUCAUCGGUGUUCUCAUUUAAGGGUCAACAGUGUUCCCAUUGACAAAUCAACAGUGUUCCCCUUGACGGAUCGACAGUGUUCCCAUUGACGGAUCGACAGUGUUCCCCUUGACGGAUCGACAGUGUUCCCCAAGUGACGGAUCGACAGUGUUCCCCAAGUGACGGAUCGACAGUGUUCCCCAAGUGACGGAUCGACAGCGUUCCCCAAGUGACGGAUCGACAGCGUUCCCCAAGUGACGGAUCGACAGCGUUCCCUUUGAUGAAAUACGUGGACAUAUUAUUGUGCUAUAAUGAUUAUAAUGCAAUACAGACGGAUACGGACAAUACGGACCAGUCGUUGAAAUCCAAUCUGUGAGAGGGCACUGGACUCGCUAUGUUUGCAUUGCGGGUUCCUGCCCACUGACGUAUCUGUUGUGAAACAGUUUGGGUUGGCAAUGCCGAACCGGGAACGUUAGGUCCUUACAAAAACAUAGCAGCUCUCAUACCAGGGGCCGCUUCCGCAGUGCCUUGUUUUAAGUUAAAGACAUAUAGUAAACGCUGUAUGGAAAAACAACCUCGUGCA